AUUUAUAUAGUUUAAUUAAAACAUUACAUUUUCACUGUAAAAAUAAAAAAACUUUUUUUUUAUAAAUA
This 68-nucleotide transfer RNA is filed under the name Erannis ankeraria. Its description in RNAcentral is "tRNA-Glu". The record is from RNAcentral. Lineage: Eukaryota; Metazoa; Arthropoda; Insecta; Lepidoptera; Geometridae.